ACGGAAGGCAGCAGUGGGGAAUAUUGGGCAAUGGGGGAAACCCUGACCCAUCAACGCCGCGUGAAGGAAGAAGGCUUUCGGGUUGUAAACUUCUUUUACCAGGGACGAAGGACGUGACGGUACCUGGAGAAAAAGCCACGGCUAACUACGUGCCAGCAGCCGCGGUAAUACGCAGGUGGCAAGCGUUGUCCGGAUUUACUGGGUGUAAAGGGCGUGUAGGCGGAGAUGCAAGUCAGAAGUGAAAUCUAGGGGCUUACCCCCUAAACUGCUUUUGCAACUGUAUCCCUUGAGUAUCGGAGAGGCAGGCGGAAUUCCUAGUGUAGCGGUGAAAUGCGUAGAUAUUAGGAGGAACACCAGUGGCGACGGCGGCCUGCUGGACGACAACUGACGCUGAGGCGCGACCGCGUGGGGAGCAAACCGGAUUAGAUACCCUGGUA
Molecule: ribosomal RNA, 437 nt
Filed under: uncultured Oscillospiraceae bacterium
Lineage: Bacteria; Bacillati; Bacillota; Clostridia; Eubacteriales; Oscillospiraceae
Description: partial 16S ribosomal RNA
Rfam family: Bacterial small subunit ribosomal RNA
Source: RNAcentral